This 232-nucleotide unclassified non-coding RNA is filed under the name fungal sp. Its description in RNAcentral is "partial internal transcribed spacer region". The stretch from base 1 to 46 matches the Rfam family "Eukaryotic small subunit ribosomal RNA", at positions 1786 to 1831 of the family's 1831-position model. Lineage: Eukaryota; Fungi. The record is from RNAcentral.
AAGUCGUAACAAGGUUUCCGUAGGUGAACCUGCGGAAGGAUCAUUAACACUUUUUAUUAUUUUGUUUUUUUUCUAAAACAAAAUUUAAAACCCCACAAUUUUGGAUGAAUUUAAUUAAUUUAUUUUUUAUUUUAUUUUUUUUUUAUUAUAACCCUAUUAUUUGACUAACAUUUUUAUUUAAUUAUUAAAAAAUUAAAAAAAACAACUCUUAACAACGGAUAUCUUGGCUCUC